Molecule: long non-coding RNA, 3282 nt
Organism: Lutra lutra (Eurasian river otter)
Lineage: Eukaryota; Metazoa; Chordata; Mammalia; Carnivora; Mustelidae
Exons: 2
Source: RefSeq, a predicted model, not a curated record
GUCAGACAUAACAGCUUGCCAAAAGGUUUGCAGACUAAGCGGGUUUCAUCCUGUCAGGAGACAAGUUCACUUUAAAUGCAUGUACAGUAAUUCAGCAAAUACUUCUUAAGUCUCUCCUCUGUGCCAAGUACAUGAAAUCAAAGUGCAUCUCAAGUAGAUUGUCAGAGCUCAUUGACAAACUGCCGUAAAAUUGUGCAAAUCAAGUCACGAGGCCUGUCGCAUCAUCAGCAGGUGGACGGGUUACCCCAUCAGCAGGUGUUCAUCUUCCUUAACACCUGAUGUUCUGGAAGGGUCCAUAGUGAGGCACCCAAACCUUUGUAUCAGCCCUGCCGUUAGGAUAAGAAUCCAUUCUUUCUUAACACAAACUUUUCCCAUCGAGGCUUACAAUGGAGUCCUAGAAACGUAAACAUUGUUAUCACAUUUGUCAAAUUUUAAGAGUUUUUGAGAAGAGAAAAAAACUCACAUGUGACACACAUAGGCCUUAAGUUUCCAGGAAGCCCGGUGCUCAGAACCACCCCGCCUAACUACUUGGCAUGACAGAUGAAGGGGCAGGACAUUGCAAGAACAAGAGUAGCUCUGACUUCCCCUGAGUAGUUUUGGCAAGGGCCAGGCCUGCUGAGAAGACGAGGGCAGAGUCUCCAGUAUCGUCCCCACUCAGCAACUUGAUCUGUGCUCCUUGUGAUCUGACCCCCGGGUUUCUUCCCAGUUAGCAGUCUGAAAGUGGUUCAGAGCUAUCUGCAUAUGUCUUUGCCUGUUGGGUUCAUUACUCCACAGAGGCGUGAAGGGGAUACACAGUUUGGGGUCAACACUCAUGAUCUGAAAUCGCAGUACUGAUAAAGGGAACUCGGUGGGAAGAAAUCUGUCAGAACCUAGGGCCUUUGCCAGGUUGCUGGAUCUUCAGGUCUCACCUGUGCUGCCCCCUGGAGGAGGCAAGUAGGAAUUCAUAAAAAUCUAAACCUAACCAGAAACACCCCUCCCUGCGGUCAUUGCUUGAUUGCACCCCUAUGAACACAUCCAUACACAGGCCUGUGGGCUUUGGUGGGUGGGGGGCACACGAUUCCACUGCGCGUAGCCACAAGGAAGCAAGCAAGUGCUUUUGCAAACUUGCCUGCCCUGGGAGCUCUACCCUUUCUGCCCCAGCUAGAGCCAUGGGUGUGGGUCACCAGUGCCUUCUGCUGGUCACCGUGGGAAAUGGCUCAGCUGUGCUGGAGAUGGAGGGCGGCGGUUUCCCCGCAGAGAGCAGAAGUGAUGGAGUGCAGCCCUUGUGUUCAAGCCAGACUGAGCCCGGGCGUGAAUAAUUUUCCACAUUUGUAAACCGCAUCUCUCCUCUGGCAUGAGUUAAAUAAUGCAUCUUCACUGCACCUUCUAAACACUGCCUGGUGCAGCUGCUCUCCUCCCCAGCCAGAGCGGGCCCUCAAGCAGCUGGUAUCCUGGGAGCGCAUGGGAAAAUCCGAACCCCCACUCCCCAGCCCAUCACUUCUCUGUGGUGGGAACGCUGGCUUCCAUCUAGUUGCCUGGGGUAUCUGUGGAAACUUUGGGUAUUUGUGGAAUCGGAUUUCCUCAAAUCUCAUUAGAACAGAGUAGAACUGGGCACCUGGGGGCUCAGUGGGUUAAGCCUCUGCCUUCCACACAGGUCAUGAUCUCAGGGUCCUGGGAUUGAGGCUAUCUGCUCAGCAGGGAGCCUGCUUCCCCCUCUCUCUCUGCCUGCCUCUCUGCCUACUUGUGAUCUCUGUCAAAUAAAUAAACAAAAUCUUAAAAAAAAAAAAACCAAAAAAAAAACCAAAAAAAAAAAAAAAACAGAGUAGAACUUCCAGGCUGGAAAGAGUGUUAACGUCUUGUUACUCAGCCUGGUUUGGAGACCACCAGAGAGCCUGAGAAAUGCAGGGUCCCAGCCCCCUAGACCGACCACAUCAGAAUCUGUACUUGAACAGAGAACUGCACAGCCAUGGGCCUCUGCACCUUUGAGACCAUGUGGUUCAACUCCCGAUUUACAAAAGGGUUUGAGGGGGCAAUUCAGGGCCUUACCUGAUAUCUCCCAGCAACCAAACCCACCUGUGACUCUCCGUCGGCUUCCUUCCUUCCUGAGCCCUUACUGCAUCGCCAGCCAAUUCUUACGAUAGGUGUGACUCAAGGGGGCCCCCCAAGACCCCUCGGGUUUAAAGAAUCACCCCCUUUCAGGGCUGUGAUACCUAAUAGCCAAUCAGAGUCCUACAAAUGUACAGUUGGAAUAGGCGUGUUACUAUCAUCAGUGCAUUUAUUAGGUGCCGACUGAGUGCCCAGCAGGGUAGUGUUAGCUAUACACUUACUGUCUCUCAUCUCUGCAAUCCCGCGGGAGGACCGAAGGCUCAUUCCCACCUUCAGAUGAGGAAACAGACUCAGAGGGCUUAAGUUGCAUGCUUAAGAUUUUGUGGUUAGGAAGUGGCCCAUCUGGGAUUGGAACUCGGGGGACCAACUCCAGACCCAAAUCUUGCUGCUCUCAGGGUUUGCCUUGGCCUCAGGUGCUGUUGUUUUUAACACAAGUGCCCCAGGAAGAGGAAGUGUGAGACCCCCAGCUUCUUACGGGGACCCAAGAAGUGCCAUCAUAAAAGGCAGCUUGAAUUGAUGAAGGAAAAGGAUGAGAGAAGAGAAUACAACUCUUGUCAUCCAACCCGCCUGGGUAAAAUCUUUGUAAAUCAGUAUGAGCCCAGGAAGCAGAUGAGGAAACCAAGGCCCAAAGAAGGGGAUGAACCAGCCGGGGAUGCUGACCUUCCUUCCAUCAAGACUUCCUUCAAGGGUUGCCUGAAUCCCCUUAAGACCUCCCUGGUCCCCGGGAAUGAAAGGAAUGGAAGCGCCUGGGAGAGCGAGCCCCUGCCUGGUCCAGGUGGACCCCGGUGCACCUGUCUCGGGGCUGCCCCGGGCCAGUGAUACCUCCCUCAGGAAGAGCCAUGGGGGCCCUUUCCUCCCUGUUCCCAUCUAGUCAGACGCAUCCGUCGUUUGCUAGAAGGAAGCCGCUCAGCCAGCCACCUCUCCACCAUCCUCCUGGGACAUGACAGGUCUGUGGCGCUGUCUGGGUGUGCGGAGGGACUGAGAAGCAGAGCCCGUGCGCCCAACUCCAAGCCCCAGGACCACAUCGAGGCCACCCAGAUGGGGCUCCAAAGCACAGUGAGACUUGGAGCACAGCCCCUCCUCGUGACCCCUCGUGAUCCCUCUUCAUGGGACAGUCUGUCACUUUCCAUCAAGUGGGAGAGAGGAUGGGGACAUAAGUGAGCUCACUACCAUUUAACAAAUCAGUUGUUUUUUGUG